Molecule: small RNA, 147 nt
Filed under: Vigna angularis var. angularis
Lineage: Eukaryota; Viridiplantae; Streptophyta; Magnoliopsida; Fabales; Fabaceae
Description: Non-protein coding transcript
Source: RNAcentral
GCUAUGGCAACCAACUUGCUACGUCAUGGCUUCAAAGUCACUGUUUGGAACAGAACCCUCUCCAAGUGUGAAGAACUUGUGCAACAUGGUGCUUCUGUUGGAGAAACGCCAGCUACUGUAGUCAAGAAAUGCAAGUAUACAAUUCCA